This is a long non-coding RNA of Rhipicephalus sanguineus (brown dog tick), 225 nucleotides long. RefSeq lists it as uncharacterized. The record is from RefSeq and is a predicted model, not a curated record. The transcript has 3 exons. NCBI's taxonomy places the organism in Eukaryota, Metazoa, Arthropoda, Arachnida, Ixodida, Ixodidae.
AGGAAGCCCGCCACACGGGACUUACGAAGAACAUCAUCACUUAGGCUUCCUCGAGAACGGUGACAUGUACCAUUACGUUCGCUCUACAAACUACGGAGGAGAUAAUGGUGUGUCGUACGGGUCCAUCUACGCACCUGCGUCCGUGAUGCGUCCGAUCGACUGCAGCCAAGUGAACAUAGACGAGUCCUUCGACGCCGAGCGUAGCAGCCUCAACAUAGGAAGCGG